AUUAGAAUACAUGACCUGCUGGAUAUGGGAAAAGGCUUAUUGAAAAGCCUCUUGGAAUUGCCCCAGGGGACGAGGCUGGUUGUAACCAUGACUAUUGGGGAGAGGUGCUGUUGGGGGAUAAUCUGACGUCUAGUUCCAGCUCUUCCAUAACUUGCAACUCAGCCUCUGCACAUUGGUCAGCAUUCCAACCUUCCAUGGGCACCCCUUUCCUGGUGGUGAAAUGGGGGUAAAAUUAUGCCUAACUUGCUUCUACCCUCUCAGCUUCUGUGAGGGGUCAAAUAAGACGUUAGUCAAAGUGGGGUGUAAAUUAUAGAGACUGAGACUGGUGCUUCAAAAGAGGUACCAAGGAAGGUAAUGAUCACAGGAAUCUCAAUGAAUUUGAGCAGGAUUCUUCAUAAUUGUAUUAUAUAUGCCCUUAAUCGGAAGUGCUGACAACUUCCUGAAGACAGAAGAGGCCACAUGAGGGACAAAUAGCCUAGAGACCUGAUUGAUAAGCUGCAGACCAUCUCCGGCUUUGCUGAAUGACUUUGGGCAGCCUCUUUGCCUUCCCGGGCUUCCAUUUCUCUCUCCACAAAAUGGGAAGCAUAAUACCUGCCUCUCUGGCUUAUCAAGGUGAAGAAAGAUGUUCCUGUCUUCUCAUCCGAGUCCAGGCCCGCAGCUGGCUGUAGUAAUCUGAAGGGAACUAACUGGGGAGCUACCUUCUUCCAAGGUCAUGUGGCUGCUAGCAAGAUUUACUCUCAAGGAUUGUUGGACUGAUGUCUUCCCAGCUGUUGGCCAGAGGCCACCCUCAGUUCCUCAGUUCCACGCGUCAAUGUCUCCUGCGUGGGAGUUUGCUUCAUCAAAGCGUGCAAGCCGGGCAUGAAAGCAAGAGCAGGGUGGAAGUCACGAUCUUUUGUAGCCUGAUCGUGGAAGUGAUUAUUGCCGUAUUCUAUUUGUUAGAAGUGAGUCACUGGGCCCAGCCCAUCCUGCACAAAAGGAGAGUACACAGGGGCUUGAAUACCAGGAAGAGGGGAUCACAGGGGGCCAUUCUAGAACCUUUCUGCCUGCCACACCAGUCGCCAACUUUUAAUUUUGCCAGAGAAGAACACUUAGAAAAUCAACUCCCACCUCUGGUUACCAUAACUUCAUAAAUGAAAUAGACCUUUUUACAAUUUGUCUAGAUACAAAGAGAUAAUUUCAUAAUAAGGGGUAGUCCCUUGUGGGUGAAUAAAUGUAGCCUCGUGCAAAAUGCCCUCAUGGUCCUCAGUUUUCUCCCUCUGCAGAGCUCUGGUGUCUGGCUUAGCACCAGGAACCUCCUCUCCUGCCUGAAGCAGGAUAACACAGCAGCUGGUAGGUGGAGUUAAGAGAGGAGGGGGUGGGUUGGCCUGAGCAUGGCUGGGGCCCACACAGUGCCUAGCACUGCCCCCCCCCCCAAGCUGGCUGGCUGAAUGAAUGAAUACAUCAGUGAGAAACUUCAUGGGGACGUGUCACUUUUACCCCCAACUCUCAGACAAGGAAACCCAGCCUUGUAAGGCUAAGUAACAGCUGGGCCUAAGCCUUCAGGGCUAGAAAGGACAUUAUAUUUGCAGGGUGCUCUAUUCUCCACAAAUCCCUUCUGCACCCAUUAGCUAAGCUGAUAGUCUCAAUGCCCCUGGUUGUGGGAAGAAGCUUGCCAUUUCCCAUGUUAGCACUGAGCAAACAGGUUCAGAGAGGUUAAGCACCUUGCAUGGACCCAGAGAGGGCUGAGGGAGGUUU
This is a long non-coding RNA of Leopardus geoffroyi (Geoffroy's cat), 1734 nucleotides long. RefSeq lists it as uncharacterized. NCBI's taxonomy places the organism in Eukaryota, Metazoa, Chordata, Mammalia, Carnivora, Felidae. The transcript is spliced from 3 exons. The record is from RefSeq and is a predicted model, not a curated record.